AUGACGGAGCAGCUUGCUUCCAUGCCGGAGGAGAGCACCAUCGGCUUCACAGCUCCCUGCCGGCCGCGCACUUCCUACCACGAGUUGAUCCAGGCAGUCCCCGUCUCCGGAUCGCCGAUAAGAUGGAGUCUCCCCAACUCUCAGUCCGGCCGUAACGGAUUAUCCAGCUACUCAAGCUCAGGUGCCUCGAAUUCUUGUCCGUCCAACAACUCCGGCAAUUCCAGCGGAACCAUUUCGGUGUCCGCCGCCAUUGUCGACAAUGGUGAGCUCACGCGGAUCGCUCACCAAAUGGUCAACGACGGAUACAUCUGGCACACGGUCCAAGCAUUCGACGACGCCUCAUCUGCACCGGCGGCAUUCAAACAUGGUGGUGGUGUCCGGGGCCAUGCCCUGGAGAAUUGGUUCUUGGAGCUCGACAUCGACUGGGUUCUCCAAAUCGAUGACGAGCAUGGCUUACGACGGCUGCUCCGAGACAAGCCGGUCACGACGCAAGAAUUGAUCGACAAGUGGGUCCGGGCUCUUACCGUGAUUGUUGCCAGUAUCACUGAGACAGAGUACGAAUUCGCCUUCCACAGGACGCCGGCAGUCGCACUGUUUGGCAAAGCGAGCAUCACCGAGAUGCUCAAUGUCGUCGAUGUCAUCGUCACUGCUCUCGAAGCCAAGAAGCUGCAGGCCGUGCUUGACAUGUUUACCUGCGUAUGUGGUACGUCGCACAUGAUUAGGCCGGUCAUGAUCUCUCGAGAAGCCCAAAGCAUUUUCAAAGAGUUAGGCAACUCGUUAGAGAGAGAAGGAAUCAGGCUAAGCGAGAUCAUAUCAAACAGCACCAAGGAGGUGAGGACACUCGUGGAGGAAGAUGAUUCAUGGGCUAUCGAGAUCCUGCGAGGAAGAGGAGAGGUUCACAAGAACACUCGGUUCAUCAUGGAUUGCAUAGUAUCCAUGACGAUUGCACGAACAUCAAUGCACAACUCUGCACCGAGCAACAACAGUGAAAACCUUGAUGGCCUGAUCGAUAUCGAGUAUCUGGAGGAUCUGCUUCUGAGAAAAUCAUGGUUGCUCUUAGAUCCAAGCCUCAGGUACUUGUUCCUGCUCAAUAAUUCCUAUUUCGUAGCUCAUGUAGUCUCUGAGUCAUCAGGAUCGUUCAUUCCUGAUGAUCCGUGGGACCUCACACCUAAACUUACGCCUGAAUGUAAGAAGUACAUGGAUAGUUAUCUCGAUUUUUCUUGGGGACAUGUGCUCUCCUGCAUACCAAAAUCGAGAUCUCUUGGAUUGAUCCAUCGUUUGGUCAAUACCCCUUCACUGGCCAAAUUCCAGUCAGCAUUUCACGAAACGUAUCAGGCUCAGAAGUUCUGGAAGGUUCCAGACCCUCGGCUCAGAGAAGCGCUGCGGAGAGCUAUCAUUGAGAGAGUCAUUACUGGUUACCGUAACUACCUGGAGGAGCAUCCGGAGCUAGAGAAACAUGUUGGCCGCCAAAGCAGCAGUCCUCAAGUUUUGGAGGAGAUGUUGGGAGAGCUAUAUGAAGGAUGA
RNAcentral lists this ribosomal RNA (1524 nucleotides) under Triticum aestivum (bread wheat). RNAcentral's name for it is "partial small subunit ribosomal RNA". Lineage: Eukaryota; Viridiplantae; Streptophyta; Magnoliopsida; Poales; Poaceae. The record is from RNAcentral.